CCUUCCCUCCUCACUUCAUAUCCUCUUCUCUUGGAUCCCCUCUCUCGUCUAGCUCGCCGGGGGCACCGCCGCUCGCCAUUGCAACGCCGGUCACAGGAACCAGCGGGAUUCGCCAGCCCUCAGUCCGGAUCGACGUCCAUGCCUCCAGCUCCGACAUGCACGCCAGCUCGCCGUUGCAACGCCGGUCACAGGAACCAGCGGGAUUCGCCAGCCCUCAGUCCGGAUCGACGUCCAUGCCUCCAGCUCCGACAUGCACGCCAGCUGGACGGCGCCGUGAAUCGCCUCGUUUUCUGGUGCGUUCUUGCUCCUAGGUAGUUCCCCACUUCCCCUAGCUCCAUUUUUGUUCCUGCUGUCCCUUUAAUGGUCAUUCCGUGCCCCGGCGUGCAGGAACCUCUUCGACCGAGGCCGCCUUCCUCGGUUUCGUCGGCCGUCGCGGUCGUCAUCCUCACCGAACAGCUACAGGGACUGUGACGGGCUCCGCUUUGUCCACAUCUUCUCUGGACCACUGAUUCGAAGCCGUGGAUCCCUCCUACUUCUUCCUGACGCUGACCGCCAUUACCGCUGUCCAGAACUCGUUGCUCUGCUCUGUCCGACCUCGCCACUAACAGCAGGGUGAGAAAUCGCCGCCGCUGUUGGUGUUGUUUGCUACUUGCCGCUGUCGCUGCAUGCUGCUGGCCACUUGUUGCUUGCCGUUGAUGCUCGAUGAUGUUAGCCGUGACUUGCCUGUAGAUGAGAGAAAGAGAGAUUGAUUUGCUAGUGCAAGUAUCUAAUGAGCCAGAUGCCAGCUGGUUUGAUCUUUUCAGCAAACGCUAUUGGGAAGUUGUGAGUGUGGGGAGCGACACUGUUUUUGUUUCAGUAACUUGCUGGCAUAAAUGCUGUCGUGUACUACUCUACGUCCAUGUUCCACAGUACAGGCAUUGCAUCUAAUGUUGCAGCGAGUGCUCUUGUUCGGUGAUGCCAAUGUUUUUGGCACCAUGAUUGCAUCUCCACUGAUGGUCAAGCAAGGAAGGAAGAGCCUUCUCAUAACAAGAUUAUCUGGAAUGGUGCGUCGAUGUUACUCUUGACAUUGUCCUUCACCUGGAAGGCUUUAGCACCUUAUUAUGGCACUCUUGUUGUUGUUGGCACUGUCCUAUGCAUUGUGGCGGGAUAACUUACCUAUGUGCACUUGAAGAGGUGGCUAGAGUUAUCUUCUACCUUUCUCGAAGCAAUGCGAUAUCGAUAACCCCUAGCAUCGAAUUCCCCGCACUAACAUGGAGGAUGAACCCAGACCACACCCCCUCCCCCAAGCUGGUACAAGCCCUCAAGAAAACCAGACACAUGAAGAAAGCAAACCAACCAAGGCCAGCGGCGCAAGAGGCCGGGUAUAAAAAACCCUCCACAUCCGAAUGAGACCAACCGGCGAGUGCACUCCACAACCCAUCCAUCUAACCCUGCUACCCAGAGAAAAAACCACACAUGAACAUUAGUCCUUUAAAGGAUGUUGGAGUGCCCACCCCUGGGGCCUCGCCGCACGCAAGUGCCCUACCCAUCGUUCGUUGUGCCUAGGCCUCAUGCUGCUAGCUCCCUGGGCUCUCCAUGUCAUCCAAUCUAUGAGGCCUCUGCACACUAGACGGAUUGCCUUGGGGGUCUAGGACGGGUGGGCCUUGUGAGCGGCUGGGGCCACCUCUUCAUGGUGGUUCUUAUCGUGCAUGUGCGCGCCCUCUCACACAAUGCCCCGAGUGCGACACGUGAGCCAGGUCAUCUUGUUAGCAUCCUUCGGCCCCUGCCGGAGUGCUUCGCUUGCACAAGUACGGUCCGCGUGUGCGCCUGACACGAGUUCUGAGCAUUGCAUGCCCGGUCUUGCGAGCUGGGUGUGCUAAUCUGUCCAGGUGUCAUUAUGUGCGUGCCUUGUGAGUUGGGCCAGCCAAUCAAUGUCGUUGGUAGCAUGAGUCGGGCGCUCGCUUGGGCCCGACUCGGGGUCUGAUUAUUGCAUGCAUGGACUCGCGAGCUAGGUGCGCCCAUAUGGCCAUGUGUCGCUCUAUGUGAACCGAGCACGCGCAUGCACCCAGCUCAAGGUUUGAGCAUUGCAUGGUUUUAAAUAGAGGAUAGCAGGCUGGUAGCAGGUUGGGUUCCAUCUAGCUGACGAUAUUGCGGGUGCUAUGUCCAUGUAGCGGAUUUGUAAAAACACUAGAUCAUUGUGUAUAUUUCUAGAUCAUUAACAAAAAGUAAUGACAUUUAAUUUGAGAAAUAGCGUAUGCUAUUGCGGACGCAAUAGCGGAAGCUAUCUUCGCUAUUUGAACUAUGGAGCAUUGAAUGGUUUGCGAGUUGGGUCCGUCCGACUAGAUGGCGCUGCCGGGUGGGUGCUAGGGUGUACUACAUCGGUUACUCGUGGGCACUAUGUGUGGGGUGCUCGAGUAUAUAAUGGGAGUGGUAUUCAUCUUCCUGCUUGCCUCACACACAGUUCUCUUUUCGUUCGUGCCAAGGUUAUCUUCGAGCUUUCUCGACGUUGGUGUUUUGUCUGCCGGCGGCAGUAGUGGACCAUUAGUUUUUUGUGCGCUUCAGAGUUGGUCGAGGUAGGUUGUCUCUUCGCUGCAAUGCACAUGUUCUUUUGUGCCUCUUCUCCUUGCUCUCUGUCCUUUCCUUUCCUUCUCUUGGUUGCAGGUCCUCUGAGUGGUUGUUUGUUCUUUGUUUGUCAUGGUUUUGGUGUGCUAUUGUUUCCUGGGUAUUUCUUUAUUUGUGUUUUGAGAUCUAAUUCUCCCGAGCGCCCCGAGCGCUUUCAAUUCCUUGCGCCUUAACAUUUGCUUUAUACACCAUUCCAAGAUCGGGUGCUUCCUCGCCUUCAUGGUCCUGCUGAGUAUGGUUUCAGGGUCGUCGUGUUUUUGCAUGUCCGCCCAAAAGAUGGUGGCUGAGUGCGACCAACUCGAACAAGCGCUUGCCAUGUACAAAGAGUGGUUGUUCCUAUUUGUUCAUAGUCGUGAAGGGAACCAGAAACUCUUUGUGGAUCAUUCAUAAAGCAUGUUUUUCAUAAGUUGCUUCACAUUGUCUAAAAGACAGGCCGUUCCGUGCCAUUAAGAAGAUGACAUAGUCCAGAUGUCCUGGGUUGGUAGGCGCUGUUGGGUGGGUCCUCUGGGUGUAGUAUGUCAGUUCA
Molecule: long non-coding RNA, 3127 nt
Organism: Triticum dicoccoides
Lineage: Eukaryota; Viridiplantae; Streptophyta; Magnoliopsida; Poales; Poaceae
Exons: 5
Source: RefSeq, a predicted model, not a curated record